AUGGGCGGAAGCCUGAUGCAGCAACGCCGCGUGCGGGAUGACGGCCUUCGGGUUGUAAACCGCUUUCACCCAUGACGAAGCGCGAGUGACGGUAGUGGGGGAAGAAGCACCGGCCAACUACGUGCCAGCAGCCGCGGUGAUACGUAGGGUGCGAGCGUUGUCCGGAAUUAUUGGGCGUAAAGAGCUUGUAGGCGGUUGAUCGCGUCGAUAGUGAAAUCCCGGGGCUCAACCUCGGGCUUGCUGUCGAUACGGGUUGACUUGAGGAAGGUAGGGGAGAAUGGAACUCCCGGUGGAGCGGUGGAAUGCGCAGAUAUCGGGAAGAACACCGGUGGCGAAGGCGGUUCUCUGGACCUUUCCUGACGCUGAGAAACGAAAGCGUGGGGAGCAAACAGGCUUAGAUACCCUGGUAGUCCACGCUGUAAACGGUGGGUACUAGGUGUGGGUCGCAUUCCACGUGAUCCGUGCCGUAGCCAACGCAUUAAGUACCUCACCUGGGGAGUGCGGCCGCAAGGCUAAAACUCAAAGGAAUUGACGGGGCCCCGCACAAGCGGCGGAGCAUGCGGAUUAAUUCGAUGCAACGCGAAGAACCUUACCUGGGUUUGACAUGU
RNAcentral lists this ribosomal RNA (608 nucleotides) under Propionibacterium acidifaciens. RNAcentral's name for it is "bacterial SSU rRNA". It matches the Rfam family "Bacterial small subunit ribosomal RNA", at positions 371 to 989 of the family's 1533-position model. Lineage: Bacteria; Bacillati; Actinomycetota; Actinomycetes; Propionibacteriales; Propionibacteriaceae. The record is from RNAcentral.